RNAcentral lists this transfer RNA (67 nucleotides) under Parochlus steinenii. RNAcentral's name for it is "tRNA-Phe". The record is from RNAcentral. Lineage: Eukaryota; Metazoa; Arthropoda; Insecta; Diptera; Chironomidae.
AUUUAAAUAGCUUAUAUUUAGAGCUUAACACUGAAGAUGUUACGGAGAUUGUCAUAAUUUUUAAAUA